GUGCCAGCAGCCGCGGUAAUACAUAGGGUGCGAGCGUUGUUCGGAAUUACUGGGCGUAAAGGGCGCGCAGGCGGAAUAGCAAGUCGGAGGUGAAAGCCCGGGGCUCAACCCCGGAGGGUCUUUCGAAACUGCUAAUCUAGAGAGGGUCAGGGGCCAGCAGAAUUCUUGGUGUAGAGGUGAAAUUCGUAGAUAUCAAGAGGAAUACCGGUGGCGAAGGCGGCUGGCUGGGGCCACUCUGACGCUGAGGCGCGAAAGCGUGGGGAGCAAACAGGAUUAGAUACCCUGGUAGUCCACGCCGUAAACGAUGAGCACUGGAUGUCCGGAGGGUUCGACCCUUCUGGGUAUCUCAGCUAACGCAUUAAGUGCUCCGCCUGGGGAGUACGGUCGCAAGACUAAAACUCAAAGGAAUUGACGGGGGGCCCGCACAAGCGGUGGAACAUGUGGUUUAAUUCGAUGCAACGCGAAGAACCUUACCUGGUCUUGACAUCCUCGGACUGCUUCAGAAAUGAAGUUUCCUCUUCGGAGGCCGAGUGACAGGUGCUGCAUGGCUGUCGUCA
Molecule: ribosomal RNA, 557 nt
Filed under: uncultured delta proteobacterium
Lineage: Bacteria; Deltaproteobacteria
Description: bacterial SSU rRNA
Rfam family: Bacterial small subunit ribosomal RNA
Source: RNAcentral